Cinara cedri is the source of this 216-nucleotide non-coding RNA. The record is from the annotation of a GenBank genome assembly. NCBI's taxonomy places the organism in Eukaryota, Metazoa, Arthropoda, Insecta, Hemiptera, Aphididae.
UUGCGUUUAAAAUUCUCUGAGAAAAUCGUCGAUCCGUGAUAAAUUGGCCGCCCUAUGUUGUAGUGUACUACAACUAAACUGUCGAAAACGGUAACGACAAUAUCGUCGUAUAUAGUUAUAUACUGUAUUAGUUUUCGCUUGCAUGUCGAGUGAGUUCAAGAAUCGACCCCCUGGCCCAUUAGGUAUCAUUUUUAUGGCAACUGUAACUCUCCCACG